This 286-nucleotide ribosomal RNA is filed under the name uncultured Oscillospiraceae bacterium. RNAcentral's name for it is "partial 16S ribosomal RNA". It matches the Rfam family "Bacterial small subunit ribosomal RNA", at positions 1098 to 1382 of the family's 1533-position model. The record is from RNAcentral. Lineage: Bacteria; Bacillati; Bacillota; Clostridia; Eubacteriales; Oscillospiraceae.
AACCCCUACGUGGUUAGUUGUCACGCAAGUAGCGUUGGGCACUCUAGCCAGACUGCCGGUGAUAAAUCGGAGGAAGGUGGGGACGACGUCAAAUCAUCAUGCCCUUUAUGUCCUGGGCUACACACGUACUACAAUGGCCGUUACAACGGGAAGCGAAGGAGCAAUCCGGAGCAAAUCCCUUAAAGGCGGUCCCAGUUCAGAUUGUGGGCUGAAACUCGCCCACAUGAAGGCGGAAUUGCUAGUAAUUGCAGAUCAGCAUGCUGCAGUGAAUACGUUCCCGGGCCUU